Molecule: unclassified non-coding RNA, 371 nt
Filed under: uncultured Mollicutes bacterium
Lineage: Bacteria; Bacillati; Mycoplasmatota; Mollicutes
Description: contains 16S-23S intergenic spacer region
Source: RNAcentral
UCCAGUUUAUCACUGGCAGUCUCGCUAGAGUCCUCAACUUAAUAGUAGUAACUAACGACAAGGGUUGCGCUCGUUGCGGGACUUAACCCAACAUCUCACGACACGAGCUGACGACAACCAUGCACCACCUGUCUAUGAUGUCCCCGAAGGGAAAGCUUUAUCUCUAAAGCGAUCAUCACGAUGUCAAGGCCUGGUAAGGUUCUUCGCGUUGCGUCGAAUUAAACCACAUGCUCCACCGCUUGUGCGGGUCCCCGUCAAUUCCUUUGAGUUUCAGUCUUGCGACCGUACUUCCCAGGCGGAGUACUUAUUGCGUUAACUUCAGCACCGAGUUCUCCCGACACUUAGUACUCAUCGUUUACGGCGUGGACUAC